GGUCGUGCUGAGUCAGUCC
This 19-nucleotide unclassified non-coding RNA is filed under the name Mus musculus (house mouse). RNAcentral's name for it is "oocyte_clustered_small_RNA1990". The record is from RNAcentral. Lineage: Eukaryota; Metazoa; Chordata; Mammalia; Rodentia; Muridae.